GCCCGACCUCCAACCCACUGUGAACCAAUGUCGUUGCUUCGGGGGCGACCCUGCCGGCACUCUGUCGCCGGGCGCCCCCGGAGGUCUCCUGAACACUGCAUCUCUGCGUCGGAGUUCAAUUAAAUCGAACAAAACUUUCAACAACGGAUCUCUUGGUUCUGGCAUCGAUGAAGAACGCAGCGAAAUGCGAUAAGUAAUGUGAAUUGCAGAAUUCAGUGAAUCAUCGAAUCUUUGAACGCACAUUGCGCCCUUUGGUAUUCCGAAGGGCAUGCCUGUUCGAGCGUCAUU
Molecule: ribosomal RNA, 288 nt
Filed under: Pseudocercospora griseola f. mesoamericana
Lineage: Eukaryota; Fungi; Ascomycota; Dothideomycetes; Mycosphaerellales; Mycosphaerellaceae
Description: partial 5.8S ribosomal RNA
Rfam family: 5.8S ribosomal RNA (bases 133-286)
About the family: 5.8S ribosomal RNA (5.8S rRNA) is a component of the large subunit of the eukaryotic ribosome. It is transcribed by RNA polymerase I as part of the 45S precursor that also contains 18S and 28S rRNA. Functionally, it is thought that 5.8S rRNA may be involved in ribosome translocation.
Source: RNAcentral